GACGUAGGGCGCAAGCGUUGUCCGGAUUUAUUGGGCGUAAAGAGCUCGCAGGCGGCCUGUCGCGUCGACCGUGAAAACCCGCAGCUCAACUGCGGGCUUGCGGUCGAUACGGGCAGGCUGGAGUUCGGUAGGGGAGACUGGAAUUCCUGGUGUAGCGGUGAAAUGCGCAGAUAUCAGGAGGAACACCGGUGGCGAAGGCGGGUCUCUGGGCCGAUACUGACGCUGAGGAGCGAAAGCGUGGGGAGCGAACAGG
This 253-nucleotide ribosomal RNA is filed under the name uncultured bacterium. RNAcentral's name for it is "partial 16S ribosomal RNA". It matches the Rfam family "Bacterial small subunit ribosomal RNA", at positions 524 to 776 of the family's 1533-position model. The record is from RNAcentral.